AUGUGUUUCACGAUCACGCUAUUCCAGUUUUUGGCCCACUUUUGUCUUUUUUUGUACUGUUCACGAUGUUUUUCUAUCCUACGGUACUCAAUCAUAGGACCGGGUGCUUUGCCACGAUUUGGUUGGCGGCCACUAAAGGACGAAAGAUCAGUCGAAGAGAUCUGCUCAAAGUCAAUGUCCAGCGCACUUGCUGUGACAUCAUGGAUUACGUGUUGGUCAGAGUCCCGCCCCCUGUAUCAGGAUUGCCCCGCCCACGUUUCUCCCUGUACCUGUCCUCUCAGCUGCAGUAUGGAGUGGUGCUUGUCUACCACAGACAGUGUGAAUUUUUGUUAGGUUGGUGUGCUCAAACUUGAGGGUAAAUGAUCAUUUGUGGGCUGGGACAAUUUUUUUAAGUCAAAAAUAUUCACUUGUAUACUUUUAUAAGGAUAUUAUUGAAAUGCCCCUAAUAUAUUCUUUAGGCUUGAUUUAGCAUGUAACAAAAGAAGCUUUUUGCAGUUUUGACUGCAUCUUUGCUCUUUUAAGAUGACAAAGUGGAUUACAGUGCAGUCUUAGAGCUGAUAAGGAUCAUGAAAUUUGUAGAAUUUAGAGAUUUUGAUGUGUCCACUGAUUGUGUUUCUGUAUUUUUUUAAUUAAUGUUGUUUUCUCAGAGGACACUCAGGGGGCAAUAGAUAGAUUGCUCCGCCUUAACUUGAAGUCCAACAUUGAUAUGGGGGAUGAAGAAACCAGGUCAGGCAUUUUAUAUCUUAGAUAUUUUUUAUUUUGAACGUUAUAUUAUAAUGCAGAUGAAUGGAAUCCUGUUUAUGUUUUCUUCUCUUCAUGACAAUAAUGUCUGAUAAAUGUUGUGAUCCUUUAAACAAUGAUCUCUACAUAUAGCACUUACAUUUUUAUUUUAUUCGUUUAUUUAGCACGGGGACCGUGCACAUUAUUAAACAUUACUGUAAAUAUUCCAUCUGCAGUCCCUGUACAGAAUGUUACAAAUACAAAUGACAAUUACAAAAAUAAUUCAAAUUGACAUUUCGUGCUAUUUUUAGAUUUGCAGAAGCAGCAUUGCCAAAACAGCAUUUGUAACCCAUUUUG
Molecule: long non-coding RNA, 1077 nt
Organism: Cyprinus carpio (common carp)
Lineage: Eukaryota; Metazoa; Chordata; Actinopteri; Cypriniformes; Cyprinidae
Source: Ensembl